RNAcentral lists this ribosomal RNA (594 nucleotides) under Triticum aestivum (bread wheat). Its description in RNAcentral is "partial small subunit ribosomal RNA". Lineage: Eukaryota; Viridiplantae; Streptophyta; Magnoliopsida; Poales; Poaceae. The record is from RNAcentral.
AUGGGUUUGCCUUGGUAUCGUGUUCAUACUGUCGUAUUGAAUGAUCCGGGUCGAUUGCUUGCGGUGCAUAUAAUGCACACAGCUCUAGUUUCUGGUUGGGCUGGCUCAAUGGCUUUAUACGAAUUAGCAGUUUUUGAUCCCUCUGAUCCUGUUCUGGAUCCAAUGUGGAGACAAGGUAUGUUCGUAAUUCCCUUCAUGACUCGUUUAGGAAUAAUGGAUUCGUGGGGUGGUUGGAGUAUUUCAGGAGGAACUGUAACAAAUCCGGGUAUUUGGAGUUAUGAAGGUGUGGCAGGUACGCAUAUUGUGUUUUCUGGCUUGUGUUUCUUGGCAGCGAUCUGGCAUUGGGUAUAUUGGGACCUAGAAAUAUUCUCUGAUGAGCGGACGGGAAAACCCUCUUUGGAUUUUCCCAAGAUCUUUGGAAUUCAUUUAUUUCUUGCAGGGGUGGCUUGCUUUGGCUUUGGGGCAUUUCAUGUAACGGGUUUGUAUGGUCCUGGGAUAUGGGUAUCCGAUCCUUACGGACUAACUGGAAAAGUACAAGCUGUAAUCCAGCAUGGGGUGCAGAAGGUUUUGAUCCUUUUGUUCCGGGGGGAAUAG